AAAUUGAAGAGUUUGAUCAUGGCUCAGAUUGAACGCUGGCGGCAGGCCUAACACAUGCAAGUCGAGCGGUAGCACAGAGAGCUUGCUCUCGGGUGACGAGCGGCGGACGGGUGAGUAAUGUCUGGGAAACUGCCUGAUGGAGGGGGAUAACUACUGGAAACGGUAGCUAAUACCGCAUAACGUCGCAAGACCAAAGUGGGGGACCUUCGGGCCUCAUGCCAUCAGAUGUGCCCAGAUGGGAUUAGCUAGUAGGUGGGG
This 258-nucleotide ribosomal RNA is filed under the name Klebsiella pneumoniae. RNAcentral describes it as "partial 16S ribosomal RNA". It matches the Rfam family "Bacterial small subunit ribosomal RNA", at positions 1 to 257 of the family's 1533-position model. The record is from RNAcentral. Lineage: Bacteria; Pseudomonadati; Pseudomonadota; Gammaproteobacteria; Enterobacterales; Enterobacteriaceae. RNAcentral also lists the same sequence under 5 other names.